UGUAUGACUGAAGAAUCCCAUGUAUCGGU
RNAcentral lists this non-coding RNA (29 nucleotides) under Bombyx mori (domestic silkworm). Lineage: Eukaryota; Metazoa; Arthropoda; Insecta; Lepidoptera; Bombycidae. The record is from RNAcentral.